AAUGAACUAUAUUUGAAUUUUCAGGGUAAAAACUUAUAGCCGUGGAUUCCUUGUAAGUUCCAAGAGCAUAAGUCUCUCCUACAACCAUUUUUCUGGUGGCCGAUCAAACUACUACAUUGAGUUACAGAGAGAAAAGAAAUGCUUAUUUCCUUAAUUAAAGAUAAAACUUCCACAAAAAGCUGCCUUCUAUAAUUUUUCUGCAUAGCAUAUGGACCUGUGGAAGCAAUUAAACAUUCAAUCUUGGUAACUGAGUAACUGUUGACGACAAAUUCAACAAAAUUGUCUUAAGGCAACUUUCCACGAUAAAAUUCAGAAUACACCUGAAAAUUAUUUAUUCUAGGUGGAAUGGUGGAUGCAAUUUCUAAUAAGAAAACAUUCAUGAACAGAUAAAAAUCCAAGAAUAAUUGCCAGUACCAUUAGUAUGACAAUGGCCUAAAGUCAGGAAGCAUUUUAUCAAUAUAUCAAAUGCCUCUUAAAAUUCUCAUCACAAAAAAAG
This 496-nucleotide unclassified non-coding RNA is filed under the name Hevea brasiliensis (rubber tree). Lineage: Eukaryota; Viridiplantae; Streptophyta; Magnoliopsida; Malpighiales; Euphorbiaceae. The record is from RNAcentral.